UCAGAGGUUGGGACAACUCUUCCUGCCUUUGCCACCUCCUUAAUUACCUGACCAACUUUCCUCAGGCUGAAGAAGCCAGUGGACUUCCCCCAGCUCUGCGAUGCCACCUGAUCUGUCACAGUCCUUCCAGUUCACAGCAAAUAUGAAGCCCUCGUGAGGGGACAAAACAUGACUUGGAGGUACAGAGAAAUGCCAGCUGCUGUCAGAUUAAUUCAGGGGUGAAACUACCACGUCUAUAAAUAACCCAAAGGAGCUUUAAUGUUCACCCCUGGUGUGUGCACGCCGUGUGAAUUUUUGGUGGCUGCUCUGGAGUGGAGCGUGCAAACUUCACGUAUUCAGGAGAAGAUGACUCCGUUGGUAA
Molecule: long non-coding RNA, 361 nt
Organism: Chionomys nivalis (European snow vole)
Lineage: Eukaryota; Metazoa; Chordata; Mammalia; Rodentia; Cricetidae
Exons: 3
Source: RefSeq, a predicted model, not a curated record